UUUCCUCCCUCCAUCAUGAGUUUCCUGAGAGUGUCUCAGAUCUGAAACUUCUCCUUCUACUUUCAAUCUUUGAAAGAGUCCAAAUCAAGAAGAAGGAGGCACCUGAUCAACCAUCAAAGAAGGAUCAGCGUAGUACUAGCAUACUGUGCUGAUUUCCUGAAGCAGGACUUCUGAUCGAGAUUCGUGGGCUCGUGUAGAUGACUCCUAGAGGUCGGACACAUGUGCAGCUUGCAACAUCAUCCUUAAGGCCGGAUCAG
RNAcentral lists this long non-coding RNA (257 nucleotides) under Elaeis guineensis (African oil palm). Its description in RNAcentral is "long non-coding RNA (EGUI_LNC040086)". Lineage: Eukaryota; Viridiplantae; Streptophyta; Magnoliopsida; Arecales; Arecaceae. The record is from RNAcentral.